This is a long non-coding RNA of Bos taurus (domestic cattle), 1176 nucleotides long. Lineage: Eukaryota; Metazoa; Chordata; Mammalia; Artiodactyla; Bovidae. The record is from Ensembl.
UUGGGGUUAAAACUUUAGAGUCUUGAGGGAAAGCCUCACUGAGAAGGAAAUUUCUAAAUAAUGCCUUGAAGGAAAUGAGCACCAUCAUAGUGUUUUUCUUAUAUUGCUGUGGUUCAUUGGUCAACAAAACAUCCUGAUUACUUGGAUUUUUCUAAGGGUGAGGUCACUCAAGAAGUAUUUUAAGAAAUGAACAAUAUUGUGUAUUCCCCUUUUCAAUUGGUGCAUAGUACAGGAAGGAUUAUAACCAUUUAAUCAAAUGCCUCUUGUUUGCUAAUGAACUAAAAUAUGCAAUAAGUAUAAUCUGAGUCUACUUUUUCUGUCAAAUACUUUUUAACUUAAUUUGGACAUUUAAACAUUUUAUUUCAGUAGAACUUUUUAAAAGACUCAAAGGGUUUCUAAAGAGUUGAAGAUGUGUCUGUUUGGUAGACAAUAUGAUGUGCACAUGACAGAUUUUACCCAUAGUUCAUAGUGUCAGAUACUGUUACACAAAGGUAACAUAGCUGAUGAUGAAUUUGGAUUAAUAGUAUCAACAAUUUAAAUAGAGAGCGCAGUUUGAGUAUAUUAAGUACCUAUUGCUAAAGAAUUAAAUGUGAGGGAGAUAUGUUUUUUAAAAUAGUACUCUAUACAAAACCUGGCUUUAACAUCUAUUUGGUUUAUUUGAAAUGUAUUCUCUUUCUGAAAUUCUACAGUGAAACAAUUUGUACUUAAUAGAAAUUCCAAAAGGCAGAACAAAUGAAGCUAUGUUAGUUGGCUUACUUUAAAUAAGUGGCAAUGAUAAGAUUAGGAAUUACUGUAAUUGUGUUUGUUUAUAUGUGUAUACUUGUUUCUUUUCUAUUUUUAACAAUUACUUAAAACAUGAAAUGCAGUUUUUCCCCACAUAUUUAAAUUUCUGUCAUUCUAGUCCAUGGUCUGUGUACUUGUUUUGGGUAAGUGACUGAUGUCUAAAGUUGAUAACCUGUCAACUUAAUAGUCUGUUGAAACUGAGUAUCCCAUCAAAGAAAGAACUGAAGUCUAGUAAUAAAAAAUUUAUUUAAAAAAUUUAAUAACAAUUUUUAAUUUAAUAGUAAAAUUUUCAAAGAGCAACAAUGCAACUUUAACUGUUGUCACUAGAGUAACUGGGUAUCCACAUUAAAAUAGUGAAUAAAACAGUUUAUUCAUUUUUAAAAUGAACCCAUA